RNAcentral lists this ribosomal RNA (448 nucleotides) under uncultured bacterium. RNAcentral describes it as "bacterial SSU rRNA". It matches the Rfam family "Bacterial small subunit ribosomal RNA", at positions 355 to 825 of the family's 1533-position model. The record is from RNAcentral.
UGGGGAAUAUUGGACAAUGGGCGCAAGCCUGAUCCAGCCAUGCCGCGUGAGUGACGAAGGUCUUCGGAUUGUAAAGCUCUUUUUGGCGGGGACGAUAAUGACGGUACCCGCAGAAUAAGCCCCGGCUAACUUCGUGCCAGCAGCCGCGGUAAUACGAAGGGGGCUAGCGUUGUUCGGAAUUACUGGGCGUAAAGCGCACGUAGGCGGACUGAUAAGUCAGGGGUGAAAUCCCGGGGCUCAACCUCGGAACUGCCUUUGAUACUGUUAGUCUCGAGUCCGGAAGAGGUGAGUGGAAUUCCUAGUGUAGAGGUGAAAUUCGUAGAUAUUAGGAAGAACACCAGUGGCGAAGGCGGCUCACUGGUCCGGUACUGACGCUGAGGUGCGAAAGCGUGGGGAGCAAACAGGAUUAGAUACCCCCGUAGUCCCUGAGCGGGCUGGCAAGGCGCAU